CCUACGGGAGGCAGCAGUGGGGAAUUUUCCGCAAUGGGCGAAAGCCUGACGGAGCAACGCCGCGUGGAUGAUGAAGCCUUUNGGGGCGUAAAAUCCUUUCAGCAGGGACGAAGCGAGUGACGGUACCUGCAGAAGAAGCAUCGGCUAACUACGUGC
This 156-nucleotide ribosomal RNA is filed under the name uncultured bacterium. RNAcentral's name for it is "partial 16S ribosomal RNA". It matches the Rfam family "Bacterial small subunit ribosomal RNA", at positions 338 to 508 of the family's 1533-position model. The record is from RNAcentral.